CAGAGAAAGGAUGAGGGUAAAAUGGAAAUUUUCCAACUUUAUCAUUUUCUGAAAUUCAAAUCAAAUCUGCAGAGAGAAAGCAAAGAAGCUAGUGCACAGCAGAUAGCAUCCACAUACACAAAACAGAAAUACAAAUGGCUACUGCCGCUAUAACGCUAAAUCGUCUGCAACUUCUUCACAUUCCCUCUCCAAUCAUCGCUCGACCUUCCAUAUAUCGUGCGAAAAUCACUCCUAGUAGAAACACGCGCUCUUUUCCUUGUUCCCUCCACAAUUUCUCCACAACAACUCACUGUUCACGCUCUGACUCAAUCAGAACAGCGUCUCAAGCUUCUUCGACGAGCGGCUCCAUAGUUGGCCAUUUUCUCGACUAUUUAAACGAGUCUUGGACGCCGUUUCACGCUACUGCUGAAGCGAAACGAUUACUGAUUGAUGCUGGUUUUAAUUUGCUUAAUGAAAAUGAGGAGUGGGAGCUCAAGCCUGGUGGGCGAUAUUUUUUUACAAGGAAUAUGUCUUCUUUGGUUGCCUUUGCUGUGGGAGAAAAGUACUCUGUUGGUGAUGCUUUUCAUGUUAUAGCUGCACACACUGACAGCCCCUGUCUUAAGAUUAAACCCAAGUCUGCGUCAUCCAAGUCUGGUUAUUUGAUGGUGAAUGUGCAGACCUAUGGAGGUGGUUUGUGGCAUACUUGGUUUGAUAGAGACUUAAGUGUAGCAGGAAGGGUUAUAGUUAGAGGUAGUGAUGGUUCUUUUCUGCACAAGCUCGUCAAAGUGGAAAGACCUCUACUACGAGUUCCUACAUUGGCCAUUCAUCUUGAUCGUGCUGUGAACAAGGAUGGAUUCAAGCCAAAUCUGGAGACUCACCUCAUUCCAUUACUUGCAACCAAAUCAGAGGAAGCAUCACCAGAGCUGAAAGAGAAAAGUUCGUCAUCUUCUAAAGCUGCUCAUCAUCCUGUACUUAUGCAGAUUUUGUCAGAAGAGCUGAGUUGUGAAAUUGAUGACAUAGUGAGCAUUGAGCUAAAUAUUUGUGAUACCCAACCUAGCUGUCUUGGAGGUGCAAAUAACGAAUUUAUAUUCUCUGGAAGAUUAGAUAAUCUUGCUUCAAGUUAUUGUGCUUUGAGAGCUCUUAUUGAUUCAUGUGGAUCACCUAGUGACUUAUCAAGUGAACACGCUAUUCGUAUGGUUGCUUUAUUUGACAAUGAGGAGGUAGGCUCAGAUUCAUACCAAGGAGCUGGUGCACCAACCAUGUUUCAGGCUAUAAGACGCAUUGUUGGUUCCUUAGCACAAGAGUACACUGGUGAGAGUGCUUAUGACCGUUCAAUUCGCCAGUCAUUUCUUGUAUCUGCAGACAUGGCACAUGGAGUUCACCCAAAUUUUUCUGAGAAACACGAAGAAAACCAUCGCCCAGAAAUGCAUAAGGGUCUAGUGAUAAAGCACAACGCAAAUCAGCGCUAUGCUACCAGUGGAGUGACAGCUUUUCUGUUUAAAGAGAUUGCAAAAAUUCAUAAUCUUCCUACUCAGGAAUUUGUGGUAAGAAAUGAUAUGGGAUGUGGGUCCACAAUUGGGCCCAUUCUUGCUUCAGGCGUUGGCAUUCGAACUGUUGAUUGCGGCAUACCUCAGCUUUCCAUGCACAGCGUGAGGGAGAUAUGUGGGAAGGAAGAUGUAGACAUUGCUUACAAACAUUUCAAGGCUUUUUACAAAACUUUCUCCAGCAUAGACAAGAAGCUAAUCGUGGAUUACUAUCGAGAAGGAUGUAGCCAAACCAACAUAUAUCUGUGAUCAAGGUUUGUUGGUUUUUACAGAAUUCUCAGACGAACUCAAGCCAUGAUUCCUCUAACCAUUAUGCUUGGAUUUCGGGUACCCUUUGGACAUUUUCUGCUUCAGCUCGGACAACAAAACUUGGUUCUCCUGGUUGAGUUGGUUGGAAACUUAGACUUCGUCAAAGUGUUUGAUAAAUUCAACAAUCUUCAUCUCUUGCGCACGAGGCAUUUUCUUGACAUUGAACCUGGACUUCCACCAACUGCUAAUUAUACAAAGAUGAGAACUCUGUUACAAUCACCUGGACCAAUUUUACAGUAUGAGAUCUUCUACUCUGCCCUGUCCACACCGUCUACGAAAUUCUAAUCAGGUUUCACCAUCUGAAGAAUUUACUCAUGGCAAUUGAAAUACAAGAAGAAAAGAAACGCCUCCUUUUCGUGUCAACUGCCCUUAAGGUAGCAGUUUUCAGUGCUCCACAACUUGCAAGUCAUCAAGGGGCAAAUUUUGCUGCUGCACCUCAGUGUGCUCCACAGUUUGCAGGUCUAGGGGCAAAUUUUGUUGUAGUACCCCACAGUGUUCUGCAGUUUGCAGGUCUUCCUGGGGCAAAUUUUGCUGUAGCCCCUCACGGUGCUCUGCAAUUUGCAAGUCUUCCUGGGGCAAAUUUUGCCACAGCACCUCAGGGUUCUCCGCAGCUUGUUGGUCUUCCUGGUGCAAAAUUUGCCGUUAACAAUGCUGUUAUUCUUGAUGAUGAGACUGAUAAGUCAAAUAUGGUGAUGGAAAAUCUGACAAAUGGCAAUCACAAGCUGUAUCUGCGAA
Molecule: RNA transcript, 2567 nt
Organism: Mangifera indica (mango)
Lineage: Eukaryota; Viridiplantae; Streptophyta; Magnoliopsida; Sapindales; Anacardiaceae
Gene name: probable aspartyl aminopeptidase
Exons: 11
Source: RefSeq, a predicted model, not a curated record